Molecule: transfer RNA, 75 nt
Filed under: Bacteroidetes bacterium ADurb.Bin008
Lineage: Bacteria; Pseudomonadati; Bacteroidota
Also listed under: 2 other names
Description: tRNA-Ala
Rfam family: tRNA
About the family: Transfer RNA (tRNA) molecules are approximately 80 nucleotides in length. Their secondary structure includes four short double-helical elements and three loops (D, anti-codon, and T loops).
Source: RNAcentral
GGGGGUAUAGCUCAGUUGGCUAGAGCGCUUGCAUGGCAUGCAAGAGGUCAGGGGUUCGACUCCCCUUACCUCCAC